AAUUGGAUUAAAAGAGAUAUAACUGUUGUUUGUUGUUGGGAUUUCUAGAUGACUGUUAUUGCAAGAAUCAUGUUGCCAAGGCUUUAAUUGUUACAUUUGAUUAUGCUAUUGACUUAAAAUGACAAUAGUUACAUCUUGCAAGAACCUAAGUUUCAAGACAGCAGAUGAGAGUUUGAGGAAACAUUUAGGUGAUAGUAUUGUGGAAAUCAUGCUCUGGCUUUCAAUCAUUAUUAAUUUUCUCUCAAUUUUUUAUUUCUUCUCUUUUUUCAAAUUCAGAUUUCCCACCUUUCUUCAUUUAUUUCAAAUGUAUUAAUAUACCUUCAUUCUUAUUAGUAUUAUUUUGAAGUUAUGUUCUUU
This 357-nucleotide long non-coding RNA is filed under the name Lathyrus oleraceus (garden pea). RNAcentral's name for it is "Pisum sativum (pea) long non-coding RNA (PSAT_LNC003464)". Lineage: Eukaryota; Viridiplantae; Streptophyta; Magnoliopsida; Fabales; Fabaceae. The record is from RNAcentral.